Molecule: ribosomal RNA, 516 nt
Filed under: Triticum aestivum (bread wheat)
Lineage: Eukaryota; Viridiplantae; Streptophyta; Magnoliopsida; Poales; Poaceae
Description: partial small subunit ribosomal RNA
Source: RNAcentral
AUGCUUGGGAAGUCCUCUGAUGCGUAUGUGUCUACGCCGGAGGGGCUAGCUACGUUGCAAGGCCCGUGGUUUCUUGGCCGCCUAAAUCUUUGGACAUGGAAAAGCCGUGUUUUGAAAAAACAGUUGGUAAAGAUAUGCAAAGUAUUCAGCCGGCCAGAUGGUGCAUGGGGAGAUCAUUUCCGAAAGGUGCUUGCGAUCCAGAGCAAACAUCGGCGUCUCAAUCAGUGUGUGGACAAACCCAAGUGGACGGCAAGAAGAAGUGCAAUCAUGUUGCUUAAUGGACGGGGUGAUGGUUGGCCUGCUGGAGUGCUGGGUAUCUGUUUUCUGUUCCAUCCUCUUGACCUGAAGCAUGAACUUCCUUGUCAGUUAUCACGCGUACGAGCUUCGGAUGGUGGAUACAUUUGCUGUUGUUUUCCAUUCUCCUGGCUCCACUGGCGCACUAUUAUUUUGUGGACCAUGGACUGUGGUUUUCAUCUGAAGUUGGAAGCGGUUCAAAGAAGACUGGGUACCGUGUGA